Molecule: long non-coding RNA, 386 nt
Filed under: Solanum tuberosum (potato)
Lineage: Eukaryota; Viridiplantae; Streptophyta; Magnoliopsida; Solanales; Solanaceae
Description: long non-coding RNA (STUB_LNC005371)
Source: RNAcentral
AGAGGCGUAUCUAGAGGGGGUGCCGUGGGUUCACGUGAACCCAUGCUCCCCUCUCUAGAUCAUGUAUAGUAGUGUUAUAUUUUAAAAAAAUAUUUAAAUAUAGAUGUGUGAACCCAUGUUCAAAGUAUAUCAUAUAAUAAUGCGAUGAUGAUUGGGUGCACCUCUCUAAGUGAGGAUAUAAAUUUAAAUCUUAUAUCUAUCUUGUCUCUGUGAGUAACACCUUUCCAAGUGGUUAUCGGUUACACUUUUGACGUUUCAACUAAUUUUGCUUUUGUUUUUUUCCUUUAAUCUUUCAAAAUUUUCAAGUGUGUUACAUUGAAAAUUCCUAAAAAAUUUAACAUUGUAAAUUUUUUAUAUAAUUAAAUCAAAUGUGUAUAUUAAAAUUU